GCACCCGUAGCUCAGCUGGAUAGAGCGCUGCCCUCCGAAGGCAGAGGUCGCGAGUUCGAAUCUCACCGGGUGCACCA
This 77-nucleotide transfer RNA is filed under the name Telmatospirillum sp. RNAcentral's name for it is "tRNA-Arg". It matches the Rfam family "tRNA". From Rfam's summary of the family: Transfer RNA (tRNA) molecules are approximately 80 nucleotides in length. Their secondary structure includes four short double-helical elements and three loops (D, anti-codon, and T loops). Further hydrogen bonds mediate the characteristic L-shaped molecular structure. tRNAs have two regions of fundamental functional importance: the anti-codon, which is responsible for specific mRNA codon recognition, and the 3' end, to which the tRNAs corresponding amino acid is attached (by aminoacyl-tRNA synthetases). tRNAs cope with the degeneracy of the genetic code in two manners: having more than one tRNA (with a specific anti-codon) for a particular amino acid; and 'wobble' base-pairing, i.e. permitting non-standard base-pairing at the 3rd anti-codon position. RNAcentral also lists the same sequence under 1 other name. The record is from RNAcentral. Lineage: Bacteria; Pseudomonadati; Pseudomonadota; Alphaproteobacteria; Rhodospirillales; Rhodospirillaceae.